Molecule: RNA transcript, 3634 nt
Organism: Cataglyphis hispanica
Lineage: Eukaryota; Metazoa; Arthropoda; Insecta; Hymenoptera; Formicidae
Gene name: thyrotropin-releasing hormone-degrading ectoenzyme-like
Exons: 16
Source: RefSeq, a predicted model, not a curated record
GCCUUUGACGCGUUUCCCGCCUUUCGAACGCAGUCGCCGCUAGUUACUCGUCGUGGCAAUGCUCGUCCGUUCGCUAGAUCCUGUGGCAGCGUAUCACCUGUUCGUCGAUAAGUAUGGAGAAUCGCCAAGCACAAGGAAGUUCGCGUCACGGAUGGCACGUGAGAACGCGAAUCGCGAUAAUGAUAUUCAUCUGCUUGAUUAUCGGUUCGAUGAUCAUUUUCUGGUUCGUUAGUUCGAUUAUAGAGAAUCGGCGGGAUGGUAAAUGCAGGGGAUCGAUUGGUGGGAAAUCUUAUAAAAAGGCCUUUUUGGAGAGACUAUCCGAUCAAGUUUUACCGUUGGAAUACACCUUGAAAAUAAUACCUAUACUAGAAGAAAAAAAUUUCACGAUGAUCGGCGUCGCACAGAUCCAAUUUUACUCCAAGAUCCCGACUAAGCACAUACGCUUUCACGCCCGCCAACUCCUUAUACAAAAUAUUAGAGUGGAAGAAUAUCGUUCGCCGAACGGAUCGAAACUGAUUAGCAAAUACGUCGUGAUGGAUGAGAAGGAUUUUAUCGAUGUGUAUUUUUUGCAAAUACUAAUGGCGGGAGAGACUUACGUUUUGCACGUAGAAUAUACAAUUCCAUUGCAUGAGAAAUCGACAGGAUUUUUUAGGAGUGCGUACAUCGACCGCGAUACCAACGAGACCAGAUGGAUAGCAGUGUCGAAUUUCUCUCCAGAUUACGCUCGCACAGCCUAUCCAUGCUUCGACGAGCCAUGGAUCAAGACGCCGUUUCGCAUUUCAAUCGGCAGAAAGUCCAACAUGCGAUCGCACUCGAAUUCAAUGCGAGAAGUCUCCGAAGAAAUUCGGGAUAUGCCAGGAUAUGUUUGGGACCAUUACAAGAAAACGUUACCGAUGUCCACGUACUUGGUCGCCUUUAUGGUCACUGAUUUCAUGAGUUACGAAGUUGCCGUCACCGAUCGACCGUCGCAUACGAUCUUUUUCAGGAAAGAUGUCGCAAAUAAUACAAAAUAUAUCGGCAAUUUGAUACCAAAAUUGCUUCGUUUAAUUCAAAACUUUACCAAAUUUGAUUACGAAUUGAACAAGUUGGAUGCCAUUGUGGUUCCCAAUUUUCUUUAUUCCGCGAUGGAAAAUUGGGGCCUUAUAACGUUUCGAGAAGAUUCCAUCCUCGUAAAAGAAACUGACGGUAUCGCUGACGUUAAAAAAGAAUUUGCUAGUAUUGCGGCGCACGAAGUCGCCCAUCAAUGGUUUGGUAAUCUCGUAACACCGAAAUGGUGGGACGACGUAUGGUUGAAAGAAGGAUUCUCCUCAUUUUUCGGAUAUUUAGCAUUAAGCGUGCUCGAGCCUGCAUCCUGGGAUGUGCAGACCAGCUUCCUGAUCGAGUGCUGCGACGUGUUUGACAGCGACGCCGACGAAACGGCACACCCGUUGCAUAUUGAUCUGAGGAAACUGAGUAAGCUCGCCGAUGUCUUCGAUUUGACGUCGUAUGUCAAGGGUAAUUGCAUGGCAUACAUGAUCUAUCAUUUUCUGGGUGAGCGGAUCUUUCUGUCAUCUAUGCGCCGCUACGUACAUACAUACCGCUAUCGCAGCGCUAAUCAAACGGAUCUCUGGAGCGCUUUUCAGGCUGAGAUCGAUGGAGCGAACGGGCUACCGGCUUCUUCGGGGCUCCGCAUGAAGGACGUUAUGCGAACUUGGACGUAUCAGGCAGGCUUCCCUGUCCUGCACGUCCGACAGAAUCGUGAAACCGGUGCGAUCGAGCUUACGCAGGAUCGAUUUUAUCAUUAUGGCAUAAAUAGUACGAGCAAAGAGUUAUGGCAUAUUCCGUUGACGUGGACAACCGAAAAUGAACAGCAAUUUGGUAAUACUUUGCCGAAGGCAUGGAUGGUCAAGAAACGCAUGAAAAUUAACGAUACUGUUCUGAGUCGGGCGACUUUCAACAAUAAAUGGAUUCUGUUCAAUAUCAAUCAAACGGCUUUGUAUCAUGUCAACUACGAUAUAGAGAACUGGAAAUUAUUAACAAAAUCCUUUCGAGCCUUACCGAAAGUAGCAAAAGUGCAAGUACUGACCGACUCGUCUGCGAUGGUUAAUGGUGGAUUGCUCGAUAAAAGAAUCAUGUGGAGUAUUCUUGAGAAACUGGAAACGGAGAGCGGAGAAAUGUUGUGGACACCCGCAAUACCUUUAUUGACAAUCAUCCAGAGUCGUCUUUGGGACUCAAGUGUAUUCGAGUUCGUGAUGUGUAAAUUCAUAGACAAGGUAUACAGCAAAACGGCACCAUCGCUAGUCCAUAAAGAUCCUGUAUUGUGGACAGAAUUCGAAGUCAAUGUAAUGAAAUCAGCAUGUUUAGCGGGUCAUCGGGCAUGUUUAAUGGAAGCUGUCAAUUUUACUAACAAAAUCCUACGAAACGAAUCGUCAAACUCUAUUCCAGAGAAAUUUCGUACCUGGACGUAUUGUACAUUUAUGAAAAUUGCCACGAACGAACAAUGGCUAGCAUUCUGGAAGAGGUACAACGAAUCAGCGAUAUACGAAAAAGAAAGCCUCGCCAUCGCAUUAGGAUGUCAUGAAAAUCCGGAUUUAUUGAGAAAAUAUCUGCCCGUGAUAUUUUCGCAAAAGAAUAUUGAACUUGCAGAAAAGGCUCUAACAUCCGUUAUGUUAAAUCCACAUGGAUAUCAUGUUGCAAUGGAAUUCUUAAAUCAACAUUGGGAUAAAUUUAAUACGAAUGCAAUAGAAAAACAUAAUAAUUACGCGAAUGUUAUUCUGAUCAAUACAUUGCGUGCCUUCGAGAAACGUAUUCGUCAAGAAGAGGAAGUGGAAUGGCUACGACGACUAAGAGGCAAGAGCGAGAAAUACGAUACUGUGAUCGGACAGGUUAUUAAUAGAGUCCGGACCAAUGUCGCGUGGUACAAGAAAGAAAAAAAUGAGACGUUGAAGAUAUUGAAGGAAAUUUAUACGAGAUACGCCGAAACAAAAAAUUGCAGGAAGCAAAAGUAACUGUAUUAAAGAUCCAGGCUAGCGUAUAUAUACAUACGCCAUUACAAGAAACCAACAAUAAUUAUGGGGGAUGCAGGAGGUGACAUUUUUCGUUCCAAAUCAUCUCUCGAGUAUCAACGCGUCGACGCCAAAGUCGAAUAUAAGAAAUAAUCAGAUGCCAGGUUAUCGAUUCUACUACUACUACGCGAUAUGCGGAUAAUCGGGGUAUCGUCAGCAUCCCCCGAGAACCGUUGCGAGAAAUUCUUGCGGCGAGAAGCGCCGGCGGAACCCCGCUCCCAAUCGGGCAGUAACGAGCCGGGCUUUCGUGUGGUCGAGUGGAGAACGUUGCAAGUAAGGGAUUGAUUCACAGGCAGUUAUAAUACCGCCAAACCGAAGGCCCUAAUAGAUUCAGGUCAAUGCCACUACCGUUCUUCGAAGUCGUUUAUUAUGUGGGAAGAGCGGACCCCGUUCUCAUGCCACACAGGUCGCCGGUAACCUGUGUGUGCAACGGACUCUUCGCCGCGGUAGGAUUCGCCAAGAACGCCGAAGUCGAAGGACCCAUCGAGAGAGCCUCUCUCUAUCCACACGGGGGGAUUCUUCCUCCGCAAGGUAUCUUCUUUUAUUUCUACGUGCGCCUCUCUUAAUGCGGUUCAUUGGACAAAAAUGAA